CCUACGGGAGGCAGCAGUGGGGAAUAUUGCACAAUGGGCGGAAGCCUGAUGCAGCGACGCCGCGUGAGGGAUGACGGCCUUCGGGUUGUAAACCUCUUUCAGCAGGGACGAAGCGAAAGUGACGGUACCUGCAGAAGAAGCGCCGGCCAACUACGUGCCAGCAGCCGCGGUAAGACGUAGGGCGCGAGCGUUGUCCGGAUUUAUUGGGCGUAAAGAGCUCGUAGGCGGCUUGUCGCGUCGACUGUGAAAACCCGCGGCCCAACCGCGGGCCUGCAGUCGAUACGGGCAGGCUAGAGUUCGGUAGGGGAGACUGGAAUUCCUGGUGUAGCGGUGAAAUGCGCAGAUAUCAGGAGGAACACCGAUGGCGAAGGCAGGUCUCUGGGCCGAUACUGACGCUGAGGAGCGAAAGCGUGGGGAGCGAACAGGAUUAGAUACCCUGGUAGUCCACGCUGUAAACGUUGGGCGCUAGGUGUGGGGGACCGUCUCCGGUUCUCUGUGCCGCAGCUAACGCAUUAAGCGCCCCGCCNGGGGAGUCGGCCGCAAGGCAAAACUCAAAUGAAUUGACGGCGNGAGAGNGCGACGACGACGACGAGGGAGAGG
Molecule: ribosomal RNA, 600 nt
Filed under: uncultured bacterium
Lineage: Bacteria
Description: bacterial SSU rRNA
Rfam family: Bacterial small subunit ribosomal RNA
Source: RNAcentral